RNAcentral lists this ribosomal RNA (484 nucleotides) under uncultured bacterium. RNAcentral's name for it is "bacterial SSU rRNA". It matches the Rfam family "Bacterial small subunit ribosomal RNA", at positions 32 to 524 of the family's 1533-position model. The record is from RNAcentral.
AAUCAACGCUGGCGGCGUGCCUCAGACAUGCAAGUCGAACGAUUAAAGCUCUCUUCGGAGAGUGCAUAGAGUGGCGCACGGGUGAGUAACACGUAAGUAAUCUACCUUUGAGUGGGGAUAACGUCCGGAACGGACGCUAAUACCGCAUAAUGCAGCGGCAUCGCAAGAUGACAGUUGUUAAAGAUUUAUCGCUUGAAGAGGAGCUUGCGGCAGAUUAGCUAGUUGGUAAGGUAAUGGCUUACCAAGGCUACGAUCUGUAACCGGUCUAAGAGGACGGUCGGUCACACUGACACUGAAUAACGGGUCAGACUCCUACGGGAGGCAGCAGUCGGGAAUUUUGGGUCGAAUGGGCGAAAGACCUCGACCCAGCAACGCCGCGUGAAGGAUGAAGUAUUUCGGUAUGUAAACUUCGAAAGAAUGGGAAGAAUAAAUGACGGUACCAUUUAUAAGGUCCGGCUAACUACGUGCCAACAGCCGCAGUAAU